Ostrinia furnacalis (Asian corn borer) is the source of this 852-nucleotide RNA transcript. It is a transcript of the gene named probable ATP-dependent RNA helicase DHX35, with no coding region annotated. Lineage: Eukaryota; Metazoa; Arthropoda; Insecta; Lepidoptera; Crambidae. The record is from RefSeq and is a predicted model, not a curated record. The transcript is spliced from 4 exons.
ACCACCGGCGAGUGUCGCGGCCUCAGAGGCGCCACGCUACACAUCAGCCCCGACAGCUGUCUCUACCACACACAACAGCCUAAGUGGGUGGUAUUCGCGAGCGUCCAAAGCACCGGCGAUAAGACGUUGAUGCGUGAACUGACUUUGACCCAGGAGACGUGGCUUCUUGAGGUGGCGCCGCACUACUACCGGCAGACCUAAUACACUGGCGAUUGAUAUUAUUAUGGUAUUCGCCAGCGUCCAAAGCGCCGGCGACAAGACGUUGAUGCGCGAACUGACGGUGACCCAGGAGGCGUGGCUGCUCGAGGUGGCGCCGCACUACUACCGGCAGACCUAAUACACUGGCGAUUGAUAUUAUUAUGGUGUUCUCCAGCGUCCAAAGCGCCGGCGACAAGACGUUGAUGCGUGAACUGACGGUGACCCAGGAGGCGUGGCUGCUCGAGGUAGCACCACACUACUACCGGCAGACCUAAUACACUAUGAUAUGGGAUAUGUGAGUUUCAUUCCAUUCCUAUCCACAUCCACAUUACACGUUCCUAUAGUGACAGAGACUGGAGACUGAGACUGGAGACCGAGACAAGAGACUACGUCAAAAAACCGAGACUAGACUUGUCUCUGUCGCACGGUUCGUAUGGUAACAGAGACCUAAUACACUGGCGAUGUAUAUUAUUAUGUGAGUUUCAUUCCAUUCCUACCCACACCCACGUUCCUUAAGGCGGGUCGUAUAGUGACAGAGACAAGAGACAAAGACAAGAGACUGAGAUAAGACCGGUGUCUUAUCUUGUCUCGGUAGACAAGAGACCGAGACAUGAGACCGAGACCGAAACAAGAUACUGACACAGGAGACCGAGA